UACGUAGGGGGCAAGCGUUGUCCGGAUUUAUUGGGCGUAAAGAGCGUGUAGGCGGCUUGGCAGGUCCGCUGUGAAAACUCGAGGCUCAACCUCGAGAUGUCGGCGGAAACCGCUUGGCUAGAGUCCGGAAGAGGAGAGUGGAAUUCCCGGUGUAGCGGUGAAAUGCGCAGAUAUCGGGAAGAACACCUAUGGCGAAGGCAGCUCUCUGGGACGGUACUGACGCUGAGACGCGAAAGCGUGGGGAGCGAACAGG
RNAcentral lists this ribosomal RNA (253 nucleotides) under uncultured bacterium. Its description in RNAcentral is "partial 16S ribosomal RNA". It matches the Rfam family "Bacterial small subunit ribosomal RNA", at positions 524 to 776 of the family's 1533-position model. The record is from RNAcentral.